CAGUCGCCGCGGUAAUACAGAGGGUGCGAGCGUUAAUCGGAUUUACUGGGCGUAAGCGUGCGUAGGCGGCUUCUUAAGUCGGAUGUGAAAUCCCUGAGCUUAACUUAGGAAUUGCAUUCGAUACUGGGAAGCUAGAGUAUGGGAGAGGAUGGUAGAAUUCCAGGUGUAGCGGUGAAAUGCGUAGAGAUCUGGAGGAAUACCGAUGGCGAAGGCAGCCAUCUGGCCUAAUACUGACGCUGAGGUACGAAAGCAUGGGGAGCAAACAGGAUUAGAUACCCGCGUAGUCCCUGUCUCUUAUACA
This 301-nucleotide ribosomal RNA is filed under the name uncultured bacterium. RNAcentral's name for it is "partial 16S ribosomal RNA". It matches the Rfam family "Bacterial small subunit ribosomal RNA", at positions 509 to 808 of the family's 1533-position model. The record is from RNAcentral.